ACGAACGCUGGCGGCAUGCCUAACACAUGCAAGUCGAACGAGACCUUCGGGUCUAGUGGCGCACGGGUGCGUAACGCGUGGGAACCUGCCCUUAGGUUCGGAAUAACUCCCCGAAAGGGGUGCUAAUACCGGAUAAUGUCUUCGGACCAAAGAUUUAUCGCCUUUGGAUGGGCCCGCGUUGGAUUAGCUAGUUGGUAGGGUAAAAGCCUACCAAGGCGACGAUCCAUAGCUGGUCUGAGAGGAUGAUCAGCCACACUGGGACUGAGACACGGCCCAGACUCCUAACGGAAGGAGGAAUGGGGGAAAAAUGAACAGUGGGCGAAAGCCUAACCAGCAAAUGCCGGGUAAGUAAGGAGGGCUUUGGGGUUGUAAGCCUCUUUACCCCGGGAGGUUAAUACAGGAACGGGAGGAUAAAGCCCCGCCAACCUCGUG
This 432-nucleotide ribosomal RNA is filed under the name uncultured bacterium. RNAcentral's name for it is "partial 16S ribosomal RNA". It matches the Rfam family "Bacterial small subunit ribosomal RNA", at positions 29 to 507 of the family's 1533-position model. The record is from RNAcentral.